RNAcentral lists this ribosomal RNA (257 nucleotides) under uncultured bacterium. RNAcentral describes it as "partial 16S ribosomal RNA". It matches the Rfam family "Bacterial small subunit ribosomal RNA", at positions 524 to 776 of the family's 1533-position model. The record is from RNAcentral.
UACGUAGGGAGCGAGCGUUUGUCCGGAUUCAUUGGGCGUAAAGAGCUCGUAGGCGGCUUGAUUAGUCGGAUGUGAAACCUCCAGGCUCAACCUGGAGUCGCCAUCCGAUACUGUCAUGGCUAGAGUCCGGUAGGGGCCCACGGAAUUCCUGGUGUAGCGGUGAAAUGCGCAGAUAUCAGGAGGAACGACCGGUGGCGAAGGCGGUGGGCUGGGCCGGCACUGACGCUGGAGGAGCGAAAGCGUGGGGAGCGAACAGG